AGGAUAAUAGUUAACCACAUAACGAUUAAUUUGCAUUUAAAAAUCAUUGAAUAAUUCAAUUUAUCUU
Molecule: transfer RNA, 67 nt
Filed under: Cucujoidea sp. 34 KM-2017
Lineage: Eukaryota; Metazoa; Arthropoda; Insecta; Coleoptera
Description: tRNA-Ala
Source: RNAcentral